This 69-nucleotide transfer RNA is filed under the name Viverricula indica (small Indian civet). RNAcentral's name for it is "tRNA-His". It matches the Rfam family "tRNA". From Rfam's summary of the family: Transfer RNA (tRNA) molecules are approximately 80 nucleotides in length. The record is from RNAcentral. Lineage: Eukaryota; Metazoa; Chordata; Mammalia; Carnivora; Viverridae.
GUAAACAUAGUUUAAUGAAAACAUUAGAUUGUGAAUCUAAUAAUAGAAGUUUAAACCUUCUUAUUUACC